This 429-nucleotide ribosomal RNA is filed under the name uncultured bacterium. Its description in RNAcentral is "bacterial SSU rRNA". It matches the Rfam family "Bacterial small subunit ribosomal RNA", at positions 355 to 775 of the family's 1533-position model. The record is from RNAcentral.
UGGGGAAUCUUGCGCAAUGGGCGAAAGCCUGACGCAGCAACGCCGCGUGUGUGAUGAAGGUCUUCGGAUCGUAAAGCACUGUCGGGAGGGACGAACAAGCUCAUGGCUAACAUCCAUGGGCCUUGACGGUACCUCCAAAGGAAGCACCGGCUAACUCUGUGCCAGCAGCCGCGGUAAUACAGAGGGUGCUAGCGUUGUUCGGAAUUAUUGGGCGUAAAGCGCGUGUAGGCGGCUCAGCAAGUUGGGUGUGAAAGCCCUCGGCUUAACCGAGGAAGUGCGCCCAAAACUACUAGGCUUGAGUACCGGAGAGGAUGGUGGAAUUCCCGGUGUAGAGGUGAAAUUCGUAGAUAUCGGGAGGAACACCAGUGGCGAAGGCGGCCAUCUGGACGGAUACUGACGCUGAGACGCGAAAGCGUGGGGAGCAAACAG